UUGAUCUUAACUGGAAGAACAUGAAGACAUCCACUCACACUUUAUUCCUGUCCCUGUGGCUGCAGCUGGACUGGGUGAGCCAAGGAGAGAAGGUGGAGCAGCAUCAUUCCAUCCUGAACGUGCAGGAGGGAGACAGCUCUGUUAUCAACUGCACUUACUCAGACAGUGCCUCAGUCUACUUCCCUUGGUACAAGCAAGAACCUGGAAAGAGACCCCAGGUCCUUAUUGGCAUUCGUUCAAAUCAAGACACAAAUAACAAAGAGAGACUCAUGGUUUUACUGAGCAAGAAGGAGAAACACUUCUCCCCGCACAUCAAUGGUACCCAGCCUGGGGACUCAGCCAUCUACUUCUGUGCAGCAAGUGCACAUCGCUUCCUAGGCACCUGCAACCUGUCCUCAAACCUGCCACUAGGGCUGCAGCCCCACCUUUGUUCUUUGCCACAGACAUCUGUGUAG
This is a non-coding RNA of Castor canadensis (American beaver), 455 nucleotides long. NCBI's taxonomy places the organism in Eukaryota, Metazoa, Chordata, Mammalia, Rodentia, Castoridae. The record is from the annotation of a RefSeq genome assembly.